This 73-nucleotide transfer RNA is filed under the name Armatimonadota bacterium. Its description in RNAcentral is "Armatimonadetes bacterium (rhizosphere metagenome) tRNA-Arg". It matches the Rfam family "tRNA". From Rfam's summary of the family: Transfer RNA (tRNA) molecules are approximately 80 nucleotides in length. The record is from RNAcentral. Lineage: Bacteria; Bacillati; Armatimonadota.
GCGCCCGUAGCUCAGCGGAUAGAGCACCAGUCUUCGGAACUGGGUGUCGGGAGUUCAAGUCUCUCCGGGCGCG